This 253-nucleotide ribosomal RNA is filed under the name uncultured bacterium. RNAcentral's name for it is "partial 16S ribosomal RNA". It matches the Rfam family "Bacterial small subunit ribosomal RNA", at positions 524 to 776 of the family's 1533-position model. The record is from RNAcentral.
UACGUAGGGGGCAAGCGUUAUCCGGAUUUACUGGGUGUAAAGGGAGCGUAGACGGCAAUGCAAGUCCGAUGUGAAAACCCAGGGCUCAACCGUGGGAGUGCAUUGGAAACUGAAUGGCUGGAGUGCAGGAGAGGUAAGCGGAAUUCCUGGUGUAGCGGUGAAAUGCGUAGAUAUCAGGAGGAACACCAGUGGCGAAGGCGGCUUACUGGACUGUAACUGACGUUGAGGCUCGAAAGCGUGGGGAGCAAACAGG